AGAUUGAACGCUGGCGGCAUGCCUUACACAUGCAAGUCGAACGGCAGCACGGGAGCAAUCCUGGUGGCGAGUGGCGAACGGGUGAGUAAUAUAUCGGAACGUGCCCAGUCGUGGGGGAUAACGCAGCGAAAGCUGUGCUAAUACCGCAUACGAUCUAUGGAUGAAAGCGGGGGAUCGCAAGACCUCGCGCGAUUGGAGCGGCCGAUAUCAGAUUAGCUAGUUGGUGGGGUAAAAGCCUACAAGGCGACGAUCUGUAGCUGGUCUGAGAGGACGACCAGCCACACUGGAACUGAGACACGGUCCAGACUCCUACGGGAGCAGCA
RNAcentral lists this ribosomal RNA (323 nucleotides) under uncultured soil bacterium. Its description in RNAcentral is "bacterial SSU rRNA". It matches the Rfam family "Bacterial small subunit ribosomal RNA", at positions 26 to 353 of the family's 1533-position model. The record is from RNAcentral.